GAUGAACGCUGGCGGCGUGCCUAAUACAUGCAAGUCGAGCGAACAGACGAGGAGCUUGCUCCUCUGACGUUAGCGGAGGACGGGUGAGUAACACGUGGAUAACCUACCUAUAAGACUGGGAUAACUUCGGGAAACCGGAGCUAAUACCGGAGAAUAUAUUGAACCACAUGGUGCAAUAGUGAAAGACGGUGUUGCUGUCACUUAUAGAUGGAUACGCGCCGCAUUAGCUAGUUGGUAAGGUAACGGCUUACCAAGGCAACGAUGCGUAAGCGAGCGGAGAGGGUGAUCGGCCACACUGGAGCUGGGCCACGGUCCAGACUCCUACGGGAGGCAGCAGUAGGGAAUCGUCCGCAAUGGGCGAAAGCCUGACGGAGCGACGCCGCGUGAGUGAUGAAGGUCUUCGGAUCGUAAAACUCUGUUAUUAGGUAAGAACAACUGUGUAAGUAACUAUGCACGUCUUGACGGUACCUAAUCAGAAAGCCACGGCUAACUACGUG
RNAcentral lists this ribosomal RNA (497 nucleotides) under uncultured bacterium. RNAcentral's name for it is "partial 16S ribosomal RNA". It matches the Rfam family "Bacterial small subunit ribosomal RNA", at positions 28 to 507 of the family's 1533-position model. The record is from RNAcentral.